GUACGGAAUAGCUCCGGGAAACUGGAAUUAAUACCGUAUGAGCCCUACGGGGGAAAGAUUUAUCGCCAAAGGAUGGGCCCGCGUUGGAUUAGCUAGUUGGUGAGGUAAUGGCUCACCAAGGCGACGAUCCAUAGCUGGUCUGAGAGGAUGAUCAGCCACACUGGGACUGAGACACGGCCCAGACUCCUACGGGAGGCAGCAGUGGGGAAUAUUGGACAAUGGGGGCAACCCUGAUCCAGCCAUGCCGCGUGAGUGAUGAAGGCCUUAGGGUUGUAAAGCUCUUUCAGCGAGGAGGAUAAUGACGUUACUCGCAGAAGAAGCCCCGGCUAACUUCGUGCCAGCAGCCGCGGUAAUACGAAGGGGGCUAGCGUUGUUCGGAAUCACUGGGCGUAAAGCGCACGUAGGCGGAUUGAUAAGUUAGGGGUGAAAUCCCGGGGCUCAACCUCGGAACUGCCUUUGAUACUGUCAGUCUUGAGUCCGAGAGAGGUGAGUGGAACUCCGAGUGUAGAGGUGAAAUUCGUAGAUAUUCGGAAGAACACCAGUGGCGAAGGCGGCUCACU
Molecule: ribosomal RNA, 560 nt
Filed under: Stappia sp. NH89-62
Lineage: Bacteria; Pseudomonadati; Pseudomonadota; Alphaproteobacteria; Hyphomicrobiales; Stappiaceae
Description: bacterial SSU rRNA
Rfam family: Bacterial small subunit ribosomal RNA
Source: RNAcentral